Molecule: long non-coding RNA, 924 nt
Organism: Drosophila mojavensis
Lineage: Eukaryota; Metazoa; Arthropoda; Insecta; Diptera; Drosophilidae
Exons: 3
Source: RefSeq, a predicted model, not a curated record
CCUAAAAUAAAACAAUUAAAUAAGUAACAAUUUGGAGCUUAACAGACGACCAACUGACUCAGUAUUGGAUUUAUCUGACUACAUUUAAUGGCAAGGCAACACACAUCGGCUCUUCAAGCAGCAAUAAAUCGACUAUUCGUACAACAAUAAACGAUCACUGUGCUCGCCCCUCGGACAAGUAGAGAUAUAUGUAUUUCGCAUGAUGGCAUACAACUACUCGAAAGCAAUAUGUACUCAAUUAUAUGUAUUUCAUUUAGCUUACGUAGUUGAAAUCUUUCAAAAUUACACAAUUAAAAAAAAAAUAUAUACAUAUUGCGCAUCACCAUUCAGCAAUUAAUAAGGAAUUUUCAUACUCGUUUUAUGACAACAUGUAUAAAUCAAUAAAACGUCAGCGUAAAAGCCUAAAAAUAUGUGUAUUUUCUAUUGUUAAUGGAACCUACGAAUAACAUCGUCAACAGGUUACAAUUAAGCAUGGUAUUUGGACAUGUAAACAGACUGAAACUCAAUUGAGUUUUGAUUUAAAAGGCCAACCAAUUGUGAAACUAAUUGGCGCCGUUUACGGCUUCGAUCCUCUUAUGUACGCGCCCAAUGCGAUUACACACAUACAUAGUGCUUCAGUUAUGUAUGUGAGGUGGAAAUUGGGAACACUUUUAUAGCUAUCUCAAGGCGCUUAAAUCAAUACGUUAUACGAUUGAUUUGGUAAACGCACAAUGAGUUGCAGACAAUCGGUGAACAAAACGAAUCCUAUCGACUAAGAGACACCCUAUAUACAAUUCCACAACAUCAAAUUCUCAUAAAGAAGAAAUCAAAUGUGUAAACAAUCAUAGUAAAGCCUUAUAAUUUAAAUAGAAACUGCAUGGGGUUCUUCUAAGAAACAUCAAGAUUAGUUCUACUGCUGGUAUAGCGCAAGUAUUUAAAUAUAUU